This is a long non-coding RNA of Plutella xylostella (diamondback moth), 612 nucleotides long. RefSeq lists it as uncharacterized. The record is from RefSeq and is a predicted model, not a curated record. NCBI's taxonomy places the organism in Eukaryota, Metazoa, Arthropoda, Insecta, Lepidoptera, Plutellidae.
UCUAGUGAUAGUGUUGAACUUCCUCUAUGGACUACUCCUCUCGAUUCUCGAUCAAUCACUCAAAAUGACUAAACGAAAUCGUCUUAUUUCAUAUUCAAUUCAACAUUUUAGGUUAGGUACUAAACUAUGAAACAAUAAAUAUGACGUAAAACUGAAUUGAAAAUUAUAAAGAAAUUAUAAUCUAAGUAUACAUUCAGUUUAUUCGAGUUACACUGACUAGGUACACGAGUUAAAUCAUUCGGAAAGUUAUAUUUUAUAAAUAUUAUGGAAUCUAUACUUUGGUCGUUCCUUUGGUUUCUCAUACUGAUAUUAAUUGGGUUUUGGAUUGGGAUUGUUGCUGCUAUCGUUUAUGUGGUACUGUUACCUUAUACAGCUUUUAUACCAUCCUUAUCGCCUGUCGUGUUUGUCUUGUUUAAGGGUGUCCAGUUUCCACUACAUUGUACUAAUAUGAUGAUAGCUGGUAAACAGAGUUAAUGGGAAUGUGUACGUAGGGAAACCCUGAAAAUCCAAAGUGCUAUUGAAAAUCAAAUUAAGUAACUUUUUCCCUAAAUCAUUUAAAUUCCUAGUACCUACUUGUCGAAAAUCUUCCCAAUAAAAUGCAAAACUUGAAAA